UGCCCAUCAACUCCUAUCCCUACCUCCUCGUGGUACUGGCCGGGGUACGAGUAACCUUGGGGAAGAUCGGGUAACCAACCCCUGAGGGAACUUUGGUCGUAUGCUGACAGGGAAGG
Aedes aegypti (yellow fever mosquito) is the source of this 116-nucleotide non-coding RNA. The record is from Rfam. Lineage: Eukaryota; Metazoa; Arthropoda; Insecta; Diptera; Culicidae.